AGUGAACGCUGGCGGUAUGCCUAACACAUGCAAGUCGAACGGCAGCACAGUAAGAGCUUGCUCUUACGGGUGGCGAGUGGCGGACGGGUGAGGAAUACAACGGUAUCUACUUUUUCGUGGGGGAUAACGUAGGGAAACUUACGCUAAUACCGCAUCCGACCUACGGGUGAAAGCAGGGGAUCUUCGGACCUUGCGCGAUUGAAUGAGCCGAUGUCGGAUUAGCUAGUUGGCGGGGUAAAGGCCCACCAAGGCGACGAUCCGUAGCUGGUCUGAGAGGAUGAUCAGCCACACUGGAACUGAGACACGGUCCAGACUCCUACGGGAGGCAGCAGUGGGAAAUAUUGGACAAUGGGCGCAAGCCUGAUCCAGCCAUACCGCGUGGGUGAAGAAGGCCUUCGGGUUGUAAAGCCCUUUUGUUGGGAAAGAAAAGCAGCAGGUUAAUACCCCGCUGUUCUGACGGUACCCAAAGAAUAAGCACCGGCUAACUUCGUG
This 492-nucleotide ribosomal RNA is filed under the name uncultured bacterium. Its description in RNAcentral is "partial 16S ribosomal RNA". It matches the Rfam family "Bacterial small subunit ribosomal RNA", at positions 29 to 507 of the family's 1533-position model. The record is from RNAcentral.